Molecule: long non-coding RNA, 651 nt
Organism: Gambusia affinis (western mosquitofish)
Lineage: Eukaryota; Metazoa; Chordata; Actinopteri; Cyprinodontiformes; Poeciliidae
Exons: 3
Source: RefSeq, a predicted model, not a curated record
CCCCCACAGGCCAGGAGGGGAACAGGUUGGUUUGACUCAGAGCCACAGCAGCUGGUGGAGUUCUGGUUCCAGUAGAACCGGGUCGACCGGACUGAAGGAGGGAAAGAGCCAAAGCCAGUACACAUAAAUCUGUCGCACAAGCUACAUGCGCUAACAGCAGCGAUGGACGACGAAGCCACUUCAAGAUGAUGCAACAGAGAGAAAACAUGGCCGCCUGUUGAUCAGCUCUGAAGAUGCUGACCGGUUCCUGGAUCCGGUUCAGAAACACGUUUGGUUUGAUUUUCCCAAACAAACGAGGACGAGGCGGACAGACGGACGGACGGACGGACAGACGGACAGACAGACGGACAGACGGACUCGACCUUCAGAUGAAAAGCUGAGUUUUGGUUUCUGCCUCCGUUUCUCAUCACUUCUCUCAUGUCGCUCACCGAGGAAUGAAUCGGCUGCGUUUUUAGUCACUGUGAGGAUGAGACACCACUGUGACUCUGUGUGUGUGUGUGUGUGUGUGUGUGUGGAGGUUCUGACUUGAUCUUUGCAAAUCCUCUGAAUGCAUUCAUGCACACACUCUCAACAUGUUCCAGCGUCUGCCUCAGAGUGUCAGGAGGAGGGGGGGGGGUGACUACACCCAUCUGUUACCCCCCCUGCCCCCCC